Molecule: ribosomal RNA, 253 nt
Filed under: uncultured bacterium
Lineage: Bacteria
Description: partial 16S ribosomal RNA
Rfam family: Bacterial small subunit ribosomal RNA
Source: RNAcentral
UACGUAGGGGGCAAGCGUUGUCCGGAUUUACUGGGCGUAAAGAGUGUGUAGGCGGCCAUGUAGGUCCGUUGUGAAAACUCGAGGCUCAACCUCGAGACGCCGAUGGAAACCAUAUGGCUAGAGUCCGGAAGAGGAGAGUGGAAUUCCUGGUGUAGCGGUGAAAUGCGCAGAUAUCAGGAAGAACACCCGUGGCUAAGGCGGCUCUCUAGUACGGUACUGACGCUGAGACGCGAAAGCGUGGGGAGCGAACAGG